Molecule: long non-coding RNA, 385 nt
Filed under: Brassica rapa (field mustard)
Lineage: Eukaryota; Viridiplantae; Streptophyta; Magnoliopsida; Brassicales; Brassicaceae
Description: long non-coding RNA (BRAP_LNC001895)
Source: RNAcentral
CAGCAACUUCAUUUCCACACACGACUUUUGGGCCUACACAAAGUUCUUGUUUUUUGUUUUUUGGCACCUUUUUUUUUUCCUUGAUGAAAAUGGCGUUUGAGCAAUAUGGCAAUCUCACUGAACUUGGAGUCUCUUAUAACUGUAGUGACGUGUGUAGUCCAAGUCUUGUUUUUUUCUUAGGGCAACUUUAUUUGGUCUUGCAACUCCAACAUUUUCAGCAUAGGGUUACUUUUCGGUAUGUAGUUAAGCAAUAACAAUUCAUGCGUAUCAAUACGUUAAAUUAUUUCUCUUAUUUUAAAUAUAUGUACAAACAAUAUUUCGUAUGAUGUUUCUGCAGUUACUUAUUCUCAUAUAUUGAUUACGUAAUGACUCAUUUAUAUAUAAG